Molecule: ribosomal RNA, 242 nt
Filed under: uncultured bacterium
Lineage: Bacteria
Description: partial small subunit ribosomal RNA
Rfam family: Bacterial small subunit ribosomal RNA
Source: RNAcentral
AGGAUGAACGCUGGCGGCGUGCCUAACACAUGCAAGUCGAACGUCCUGUCUCGCAAGAGGCAGGGAGUGGCGGACGGGUGAGUACCACGUGAAUAAUCUACCUCCGAGUGGGGAAUAACUGAGAGAAAUCUUAGCUAAUACCGCAUAACACUUACGAGUCAAAGCAGCAAUGCGCUUGGAGAGGAGUUCGCGGCCGAUUAGUUAGUUGGCGGGGUAAUGGCCCACCAAGACGAUGAUCGGUA